AAGUGUCAACUCAUUCACAAACGGUAAUACAUUUGAGACUCAAAAAUUUACAACGGUAACAAAUAUAGACGUUGGAAAAGUAGCAUUGGAAAAACAAAUUCAUAGAUUUGAGACUCAAAAAUUUACAACGGUAAAAAAUAUAAACGUUAGGAAAGUAGCCGUUGGAAAAACAAAUCCAAGCUGCCUAUAUAAGUGACUCUUGCUCAGAAACUUACUUACCACAAUCCUUUCUUCUUCGUCUAUAUUAUCACUUACAAUUCUCAUAGUUUCACAAAGCAAAGGCUCCUUCUUUUUUCUUUUGUUCAAAAACGAGAGAGAGAGAGAGAGAGCAAAGUUUCAUCCAAGAUUUCUCGUAGUCAAACCCUUGAAGCAUUUUCAUCCAAAGUUUCAUCGUCACUUCUUCAAGAUUUGUGUUCUUGAAAGUUCUCUGCAACGAAAGGUAAGUAACAACAAGUCGAAGGUUUAUCAAAAUUGCUCUGCUCUGGCCUCUGUGAUCUUAUAAUCUCUCUGCAUCGUAAUGAAGAACCAGAAGAGGAUUCAGGCUCUGCUUUUAGGUUUGACAGAUGUCUCACAGUCAUGCUGUCAGAUAAGGUCCACGGCAUGUAGACCCAGAUGAUCUUCACAUUAUCCCUCUUCGUUUUCGGCAUUGUUGAAGGUUUUGUUAAGGAAGAAGAUAAAAGAAAGAACUUAACUUUUUCCCUUUUCUUUUGGUAAAAGAAAAAUGACUUUGCCUCGGAUCAAACCUUUUUAGGUUCACAAAAUAUUGUAUUACCGUCUGUAAUUGUAUUACUCCGUCUGUUCCUUA
This is a long non-coding RNA of Arabidopsis lyrata subsp. lyrata, 805 nucleotides long. RefSeq lists it as uncharacterized. The transcript is spliced from 4 exons. The record is from RefSeq and is a predicted model, not a curated record. Lineage: Eukaryota; Viridiplantae; Streptophyta; Magnoliopsida; Brassicales; Brassicaceae.